AGAAAUAACAAUACGGGGCUUAAUGUCUUGUAAUUGGAAUGAUGGGAAUUUAAACCUCUUCCAGAGUAUCAAUUGGAGGGCAAGUCUGGUGCCAGCAGCCGCGGUAAUUCCAGCUCCAAUAGCGUAUAUUAAAAUUGUUGCAGUUAAAAAGCUCGUAGUUGAAUUUCCGCUGCAUUGCUUUUGCUCCUUUACGAGUCUUUGCAUUGUGGCUUAUUUCGGACUUUGUUUUACAAUGUCCGGAUGUUUACUUUGAGAAAAUUAGAGUGCUCAAAGCAGGCUUUCGCCUUGAAUAGUUUAGCAUGGAAUAAUAAAGUAGGACUUUGGUUCUAUUUUGUUGGUUUUAGGUACCAAAGUAAUGGUUAAUAGGAACAGUUGGGGGCAUUCGUAUUUA
RNAcentral lists this ribosomal RNA (391 nucleotides) under Theileria ovis. Its description in RNAcentral is "SSU rRNA". It matches the Rfam family "Eukaryotic small subunit ribosomal RNA", at positions 473 to 900 of the family's 1831-position model. The record is from RNAcentral. Lineage: Eukaryota; Apicomplexa; Aconoidasida; Piroplasmida; Theileriidae.